UCUACAAAUUCUCCUUCCCAGAAAUGUUUGUACAGAAUUUUGCAGGAGUACAAAGUUAUUUAGAUGUAACUGGAUUCAAAAGUAGGGAAAUACCUGGUGAAUGGGAUGUGCCCUCAGUGAUCCCUGACUCCUGGUAUUCAUGCCUGUGUGUAGUCAUUCCCUUUUGAGUGUGAACAGGACCUGUGACUUGCUUCUUGCCAACAGAAUCUGGCAAAGGUGAUGGAUAUCACUUCUAUCAUUAGGAUAUGUAGGAUCGUAGUUUCUGUCUGCCAGAAGAGUCUCAUUUUAGCUCUGUCUCUUGCUGGCUUUGAUGCAACAAACUGCCAUAUGAACAUGGCAAGAACAGAGGGAGACCUCAGCCAACAUCCAGAGCAAGGAACUGGGUCCUGCCAACAACAAUAUCCAAAGAGUUCCUGCUCAGAACACGUUUACUAAAAGACCCUCUCAAAGUGACAACCAACCGGGCAAGUAUCCUCAAGCUGCUUUUUGAUGAGAGAAAAGAAGGAAAAAUGGGUUUAAAGACACAUUUUAUAGAACUCCUGGUGAACAACUUCAAGAAGCUUUUCAAUAAAUUUAAGGUAGUACUCAAUAACGGAAAAAUUUAUUUCUACUUAGAAAUUGCUUUCAAGAGCUCAUGAAAAGGCUAAGCUGUUUUUAUGACCUUUAAAAUUCUUCAUUUUCCCUUCAUUUGGACCAUUUCAUUAAAGCAACUUCUAACCAGGUAA
This is a long non-coding RNA of Canis lupus familiaris (dog), 725 nucleotides long. RefSeq lists it as uncharacterized. The transcript is spliced from 2 exons. The record is from RefSeq and is a predicted model, not a curated record. Lineage: Eukaryota; Metazoa; Chordata; Mammalia; Carnivora; Canidae.